GAUGAACGCUGGCGGCGUGCUUAACACAUGCAAGUCGAACGAGAAGUGGAGACGGAAACCUUCGGGCGGAAGACUUUACUUCGAGUGGCGGACGGGUGAGUAACGCGUGGGUAACCUGCCUCAUACAGGGGGAUAACAGUUGGAAACGACUGUUAAUACCGCAUAAGACCACAGCACCGCAUGGUGCGGGGGUAAAAACUCCGGUGGUAUGAGAUGGACCCGCGUUCGAUUAGCCAGUUGGCGGGGUAACGGCCCACCAAAGCGACGAUCGAUAGCCGAUCUGAGAGGAUGACCGGCUACAUUGGGACUGAGACACGGCCCAAACUCCUACGGGAGGCAGCAGUGGGGAAUAUUGCACAAUGGGGGAAACCCUGAUGCAGCGACGCCGCGUGAGUGAAGAAGUAUUUCGGUAUGUAAAGCUCUAUCAGCAGGGAAGAAAAUGACAGUACCUGAGUAAGAAGCCCCGGCUAACUACGUG
This 478-nucleotide ribosomal RNA is filed under the name uncultured bacterium. RNAcentral's name for it is "partial 16S ribosomal RNA". It matches the Rfam family "Bacterial small subunit ribosomal RNA", at positions 28 to 507 of the family's 1533-position model. The record is from RNAcentral.